Molecule: long non-coding RNA, 1081 nt
Filed under: Homo sapiens (human)
Lineage: Eukaryota; Metazoa; Chordata; Mammalia; Primates; Hominidae
Description: HSALNT0380617
Source: RNAcentral
AGACCCAGGUUUGUUUCGUUUAAAGGAGGAUGCAAUUCUGUCCGUGAAUGCAUUUUCUCUAAAUGUUGGCUUCAUCCCUCCUUUGGUAGAGCAUGUCAACGGAUUUGCUAAUGUGAGUUGCUUUCAGACUAGUCUGUGGUUUUUCUUUUUUAUUUCUUUCCUCCCCUUUGGGCAUUUUUUUUUUUUCUGCUUCAAAAAAGGAGAUAAUUCUUUCUACAAGUAUCUGGUAAAAGAAAUUCCUCUAGGUCCUCUUUUUAAAAAGCGUUUGCCUAAGUCGGGUUAUCUUUUGUCUUUAUCACUUCAUAAAGUAGAGCAAUUAAAGAUGUGAUGUUGCAUGGGCGGAAAGGGUGGAUCCAUUAUACGGCGACAUAAUACGCUAUAUUCUCGCCUGAAAGUUUGAAGCUAAAUUACGAUUUCGCUUUUUCUAGACUUAAAAAUCAAUAUUUUCUCAAUUAAAGCGAAUUUUAAUGCUUUACUUGCGAGUUGUUAAAGGCGCUGUAAAUUGUAUUGUAAUGCUCUUGACUUCGGAGUAGAUGCAGGAGACGGGUUGAUUCUCGUGGUCUUUUUCCUCUCGAGGAACCUAGCCCAGGAACAUCCCAUGGUUUCAUAUCAAAUUGAAGCAACAAAGAAGCCCUGUGUCACCCCUUCUCCAACCCCCAUUCCCAUCUUUGGAGACACUCAGGGAGGGGACAGGGACCCCGGUGACUCCCUAGAACCAGCGCUCCUAGGGCAAGGCAGAGGUGGGAGACAACCCGGUCUUCAGGCCAGUGAAGUGAUGCCUCAGUCUGAUUGUGUUUGAAGAUUUGCUGGGGCUAUUGUGUGACAAUUGAGGGCAAAGAAGGGAAAACAGAAGCAAAGAAAACUGUUUCAAAAGUCUUGGAAUUGCUACUGUUAAAAGGCUGCGGUUCAUUUCUGAUUUCCUCAUCUUUUGCUACAAAGGAAAAAGAAAUCCAAUGAUGUGUCUACCUUUGGUGAGAAGAAAACACGAGCAACAGCAGUGUAGGCAGAAACUGCAGGCUGUUCAGAAUCCAAUUCUCUGGAUAUUGGCAUGCUACAUUCAAUGUCCAGCUACAUUAAGUGU